UCCGUCCCUUCAGUUGUGAAUAAACUUUUCAGGUUUUUUCUCUCCAAAAAAUAAAUUCUUUAAUCCAUGUCCCUUCCGCUGCGUCAAUGAGAUAUUAGGUGGGGUGGAACGGCCCAUCUGAAGAGAGGUUUGAGGACCUUUGGGGUUCAAGCUACCAUGGGAAGAGCAAUGGCCCUAAAACAGCUGCUCCCCCAAAGCAAGUCUGUCCUCUUCCCUCUGACCUUGUCCUCCUCUCUCCUUUGCAGAACAUCAGGAAGGUCUGUCAAGACACUUUUUCGUGUUGCCGGAGGAGGAGAUCCAUUAAAGUGGCUCCUGUCAGUGCUCCAGAAGAAUCGAAGGAAUCCUCCUCCAUGGAUAUCUCUUUGGAGAUUUGGCAUUUCUGGAUGGUAUCUGCGCCACAGCCAGGCCCGAUUGCAAGGCAUGAGGACCCCCUUCGAGUGGAGUCCUAUGAAUCCUGGCGCACCUUGACCAACACAACAGAAGAAGGGAGCAUGGGCACACUGUGGAGCCAACAGCCCCAGGAAGAGAACUCAACAACAGAUAUCAAGAUUGAAGAUUUAGAAGAAUGAAGAACAUCCUGGGACUGCUGGCUCUAUAGUGUCUCCAUCGCUCCACCCAGGAUUCAUAGGACUCCUCUGAAACAGGGUCCUCGCUCCUUGACUCCUGGCUUGGUUGCAGUGCUGAUACCAUCCAGAAAUGUUAUAUCAACUGAGUUGUUUUAUAUUGCUUAACUCCAAAGAUGCUGCUGAGAACUUGUAAAAGAAAAGCUUGCAUGGGGCCAGCCUCCCCAAAUAUACUGGGCGUGUGCAAUCUCACCUGAAGCAUCCAGCAAGAAGGAGAUGAAAAGGAGGACAGGAGGCUUCAACAUUUCCAGAGUGGAAGGUGCAGAAUACAGACCAAUUCUUGGGAGUAGCUACACCUCACUGCCCCCACCCCCACCAUCCUCAGUCUACUGGCAAGUGAUAGCUCACACAUGAGUUAUGACACCACAACUGAUACAAUCUAUGUUCCUCUGGACUUUUACCAAACUGAUCAGUAGCCUACUGCCAGCAUCAAAUAAGACUCUCCCCCACCCCCCCUCAAGGACCUCAUAUCACAUUUACCAUCCCCUAAAAAGGCCCAGGAUGUUUUUACCCUCACAAUUCUGUAUUCAAUAUGUACCUAAAGAACUUUGUGUUUUGUGGGAUGGAGUGGGAGCAGGGAGGGUAUAAAAGAAGGGCUGAAAGGCUAUGGAGAGAGAGAGAUGGGAAGGGGGUGAGAGAAGGGGUCUAUGUUAUUAAUUGCAGCAAUUAUAUGUUUCAUGCUUAUGUCUAUGUUUGAUGUUUUUAUAGUUUUAAUGGUCUUAAUCUACAGUUAUAUGUUAUUUGAUUUAGAUAUGGGAUAUUUUUAUCUAUAUGAGGCACUGAAUUUGUCAUUGAUUAUGUUGUAAACCCAGGGGUGAGAAAAACAGUAUAGAAAUGUAGUUAAUAAAUAAAUAAUAAAUAAGGAAGGAAAGACAGAAGAGAAGUUUUGUGUGAUUUCUAUAAUUUAUUUAU
Molecule: non-coding RNA, 1535 nt
Organism: Anolis sagrei ordinatus
Lineage: Eukaryota; Metazoa; Chordata; Lepidosauria; Squamata; Anolidae
Source: RefSeq, a predicted model, not a curated record